RNAcentral lists this unclassified non-coding RNA (337 nucleotides) under soil metagenome. RNAcentral's name for it is "partial contains 5.8S ribosomal RNA, internal transcribed spacer 2, and large subunit ribosomal RNA". The stretch from base 1 to 120 matches the Rfam family "5.8S ribosomal RNA", at positions 35 to 154 of the family's 154-position model. The record is from RNAcentral.
GAUGAAGAACGUAGCGAAAUGCGAUAAGUAGUGUGAAUUGCAGAAUUCAGUGAAUCAUCGAAUCUUUGAACGCACAUUGCGCCCCUUGGUAUUCCAUGGGGCAUGCCUGUUCGAGCGUCAUCUACACCCUCAAGCUCUGCUUGGUGUUGGGCGUCUGUCCCGCCCCCGCGCGUGGACUCGCCCCAAAUCCAUUGGCAGCGUUCCUUGCCCCCUCUCGCGCAGCACAUUGCGCUUCUCGAGGGCGGCUCCGGGACGCGAUCCAGCAAGAUGACCACCGUCUUUGACCUCGGAUCAGGUAGGGAUACCCGCUGAACUUAAGCAUAUCAAUAAGGGAGGA